GUUUAGCACUGUAAACGCUGCCUUUUUAGAGAAAAGGCAAUGUUUACAUUGUUGCCUAGUAACACCUCUAGGUGCAGUCACUCAGACAACCAUUAGAGAUGCUUCCUAGACCAGUGCUGCACAGUGUGUCUUCACAAUCUGCAUUGAGGUGCUGAAUGUUCACCAUAGAAGUGCAUUGAUUCAAUUCAUCUCUAUGAGGAUAUGCUGAUUGGCGCUGCAUGC
Non-coding RNA from Pelobates cultripes (western spadefoot toad), 222 nucleotides. Lineage: Eukaryota; Metazoa; Chordata; Amphibia; Anura; Pelobatidae. The record is from the annotation of a GenBank genome assembly.